This is a non-coding RNA of Ataeniobius toweri, 85 nucleotides long. The record is from the annotation of a GenBank genome assembly. NCBI's taxonomy places the organism in Eukaryota, Metazoa, Chordata, Actinopteri, Cyprinodontiformes, Goodeidae.
UGCACGGUGGCGCAGUUGGUAGCACUGUUGCCUGUUGCAGCAAGGAGGUCCUGGGUUCGAUUCCCGUCCAGGGGUCUUUCUGCAU